RNAcentral lists this ribosomal RNA (199 nucleotides) under uncultured bacterium. RNAcentral describes it as "partial 16S ribosomal RNA". It matches the Rfam family "Bacterial small subunit ribosomal RNA", at positions 328 to 538 of the family's 1533-position model. The record is from RNAcentral.
ACGCUCGACACCUACGGAGGCAGCAGUGGGGAAUAUUGCACAAUGGGGGAAACCCUGAUGCAGCAACGCCGCGUGAAGGAAGACGGUUUUCGGAUUGUAAACUUCUGUUCUUAGUGAAGAUAGUGACGGUAGCUAAGGAGCAAGCCACGGCUAACUACGUGCCAGUAGCCGCGGUAAUCUGAGGCGGGCGUGGCAAGGC